Molecule: long non-coding RNA, 1244 nt
Organism: Chelmon rostratus (copperband butterflyfish)
Lineage: Eukaryota; Metazoa; Chordata; Actinopteri; Chaetodontiformes; Chaetodontidae
Exons: 3
Source: RefSeq, a predicted model, not a curated record
UGGUUUCCUGCUUCCUCUUGAAGACACAUUUCAGGUUUGACAGCAUAUCUCUUGAAAAAGGAUUGUUGAGGAAGGAUUCCUCAACAGAGGCGUCAACAGGUGCGUCUCUCAGUGUGAACGCAAGUGUGUUUGUGUGUGUGGGUGAGAGCUAACAUACGUGUGCAUGCAUACCUGCAGGUGACAUCUCCCAUAUUUUAAACUUUUUCCUUCUCUCCUUCACCCUGUGAUGGCUGGAAAAAGGCCAGCUCUCCUCUCUGUCUCUGGACUGAAACAACAUUGCAGUAUUACUGCAGUGUGGCAAAAAAGAAAGCACCUAAGUACUACGAUGAGGUAAAUUCAAACAAUUCUGUCAUCGUAUCUCAUGACUUCCAUCUGCUUUGCUCAUGAAAUUCCUCCGUUUGUACUUCAAAUGAAGGUGACAACAUUUCCCAUGAUGAUCCCCUCCCAGAUGAGAGCCUGGCCGACAGACAGGACUGUCAGUAUGAACCUGAAGUGUGAAGUGUGUCACUUAUGCUUACUGGAUCGUCAUUUUAGAGCAAAAAGAGCGGAAAUGCAUUGAUAUGUGAAUAUUAUAAGCAAAGUUACCAGUGAGAAUAAGAGUGAUAACCUUUGCACUGGUGCUGGGUUCAAAAAUAUGGCACAUUUUAUGGGACGGGAAAAAAUAACAUAUAUUUUGAAUGUUAUCCAUUUCACAUUUCUAACAUUUUUAUGUACUGUAAGAUAAGGUGCAUCCGCUCCUGCAUCAUGCUUUAAUAAAUGUCAUGCUAUGCUUGGGUUGCGGUGGGAGUUUGGCUUUUUUAAAAUGUAUCAGUGUUUUUUAUUUUUUGUUUCUGUUGGUGUCGAUGUGGAAAUGUACAAAAGCAACAGUGGGUGAAAAUAAAGGGAAAGAAAGUGGUGCUUAUAUGCUGCUACAAGAUAUGUGAUGGAUGAUGAGAUGUUUAUGUUCCUUGGAAAAGUUGGUUAUAAAAAGAUCCUCCCCUCCUUUUUUGCAAGCAGAUGACACAGUAUCUGUCAGCACACCAUACCUCGAAGAAAUUCAGUUUAAAUUGAUGGAAAAAGAGAGAAAAAUCCUCACAAUCGAGAAGCUGAAAUGAGAGAAUGUUUUGUGUUUUACUACUUCUGUCAAUAGACCAAUUGUUAUUUGCACCAUCUACUUGUGUCUGCGAAUAAUAACGGUCCCUUUAAUCAGACUGAAUGGUCAGUUAUAUCCACAGCUCAGGGCUAAAACAUCAGCAGUGUUGUAA